This is a long non-coding RNA of Alligator sinensis (Chinese alligator), 696 nucleotides long. RefSeq lists it as uncharacterized. The record is from RefSeq and is a predicted model, not a curated record. NCBI's taxonomy places the organism in Eukaryota, Metazoa, Chordata, Crocodylia, Alligatoridae. The transcript is spliced from 6 exons.
CCCGGUCUUAUCAUCAUGCCUCUGGAUUUUUAAGGCAUCUGUUGGCUGUAAAUAUCUAUGUUUACUAAAACUCAUGGUGACAGCAGUAGAGUAUUACUCCUUGAUCAAAGAAAGAUAUCCAGAGUUACAAGUCCUGGCUUCAGUGUCCACGUCUCAGCUGGCUUGGGAUAUGAACUUGGAUGAGCAUACAUCAUUCAGUGAGCUUCCCACUGGCUGCCGCCCCCAGUGUACUCCUUCAAAGAGGCCUAAAGAUCUGGUGGAACAGAGCAUUUGCAGAAGUUAGUGCACACAGAAUUACAUUCUGCAGUUUAACUUUAUGUACUUUAUCUUUGUGAUUGAAGAAGGACAAAAGGAGACGAAACCCAGAAGGCCUGAUAGAUCUGCGUGCAUGGGGAACCUAUUCUGCUGGAAACUGGAGAAAUACCUUUGAGGUUACUGGAUCCUGCAAGUGAGGAGCAUCUGACUAAUAUGCUGCAAACUGAGACACCACAACAGUGGAUCUCCUGAAGGUUACCUCCAAUUUGCUCUGGGCUUCCAAAGACAGAUUCAACCCAGCAUCAUGGCAAUUUUAUUUUUGAAAGAGCAAAGGGAACUACACUCUAAGCCUCUCUAAGCACAGAAGAACCGACCUUGGGAGGAUUCCUCCAAAUUUCUUGAAGAUCUGUAGCCAAGAACCAGAAUUGGCAGAACUUUCCA